AAAUUGAAGAGUUUGAUCAUGGCUCAGAUUGAACGCUGGCGGCAGGCCUAACACAUGCAAGUCGAACGGUAGCACAGAGAGCUUGCUCUCGGGUGACGAGUGGCGGACGGGUGAGUAAUGUCUGGGAAACUGCCUGAUGGAGGGGGAUAACUACUGGAAACGGUGGCUAAUACCGCAUAACGUCGMAAGACCAAAGAGGGGGACCUUCGGGCCUCUUGCCAUCAGAUGUGCCCAGAUGGGAUUAGCUUGUUGGUGAGGUAACGGCUCACCAAGGCGACGAUCCCUAGCUGGUCUGAGAGGAUGACCAGCCACACUGGAACUGAGACACGGUCCAGACUCCUACGGGAGGCAGCAGUGGGGAAUAUUGCACAAUGGGCGCAAGCCUGAUGCAGCCAUGCCGCGUGUAUGAAGAAGGCCUUCGGGUUGUAAAGUACUUUCAGCGGGGAGGAAGGUGUUGUGGUUAAUAACCACAGCAAUUGACGUUACCCGCAGAAGAAGCACCGGCUAACUCCGUGCCAGCAGCCGCGGUAAUACGGAGGGUGCAAGCGUUAAUCGGAAUUACUGGGCGUAAAGCGCACGCAGGCGGUCUGUCAAGUCGGAUGUGAAAUCCCCGGGCUCAACCUGGGAACUGCAUUCGAAACUGGCAGGCUUGAGUCUUGUAGAGGGGGGUAGAAUUCCAGGUGUAGCGGUGAAAUGCGUAGAGA
RNAcentral lists this ribosomal RNA (704 nucleotides) under Salmonella enterica. RNAcentral's name for it is "bacterial SSU rRNA". The record is from RNAcentral. Lineage: Bacteria; Pseudomonadati; Pseudomonadota; Gammaproteobacteria; Enterobacterales; Enterobacteriaceae.